This 497-nucleotide ribosomal RNA is filed under the name uncultured bacterium. RNAcentral's name for it is "partial 16S ribosomal RNA". It matches the Rfam family "Bacterial small subunit ribosomal RNA", at positions 28 to 507 of the family's 1533-position model. The record is from RNAcentral.
GAUGAACGCUGGCGGCGUGCCUAAUACAUGCAAGUCGAGCGAACAGACGAGGAGCUUGCUCCUCUGACGUUAGCGGCGGACGGGUGAGUAACACGUGGAUAACCUACCUAUAAGACUGGGAUAACUUCGGGAAACCGGAGCUAAUACCGGAUAAUAUAUUGAACCGCAUGGUUCAAUAGUGAAAGACGGUUUUGCUGUCACUUAUAGAUGGAUCCGCGCCGCAUUAGCUAGUUGGUAAGGUAACGGCUUACCAAGGCGACGAUGCGUAGCCGACCUGAGAGGGUGAUCGGCCACACUGGAACGGAGCAAGGGUCCAGACUCCUACGGGAGGCAGCCGUAGGGAAUCUUCCGGAAUGGGCGAAAGACUGACGGAGCAAAGCCGCGUGAGUGAUGAAGGUAUUCGGAUCGUAAAACUCUGUUAUGAGGGAAGAACAAAUGUGUAAGUAACUAUGCACGUCUUGACGGUACCUAAUCAGAAAGCAACGGCUAACUACGUG